Molecule: small nuclear RNA, 107 nt
Organism: Zalophus californianus (California sea lion)
Lineage: Eukaryota; Metazoa; Chordata; Mammalia; Carnivora; Otariidae
Source: Ensembl
GUACUUACUUCAGCAGCAUAUAUACUAAAAUUGGAAUGACACAUAGAAGAUUAGCGUGGCCCCUGCACAAGGAUGACACUCAAAUUCAUGAAGCAUUUCAUAUUUAA